This 1325-nucleotide ribosomal RNA is filed under the name metagenome. RNAcentral's name for it is "bacterial LSU rRNA". It matches the Rfam family "Bacterial large subunit ribosomal RNA", at positions 1561 to 2925 of the family's 2925-position model. The record is from RNAcentral.
AGUGGAUUGGGAGCAACCUAGUUGUGAGUGUAUAAAGGUAGUGGCAAGAAAAGCUGUGAUGACGUUGAACAAGAAGUCCCGGUACCCGAAACCGACACAGGUGGGCAAGUAGAGCAUACUAAGGGGCGCGAGGUAACUCUCUCUAAGGAACUCGGCAAAAUGACCCCGUAACUUCGGGAGAAGGGGUGCCACCGAGAGGUGGUCGCAGUGAAGAGUCCCAGGCGACUGUUUAGCAAAAGCAUAGGUCUCUGCAAACUCGAAAGAGGAGGUAUAGGGGCUGACGCCUGCCCAGUGCCGGAAGGUUAAAGAAGUUGGUUAGUCUUAGGAUGAAGCUAGCGACUGAAGCCCCGGUGAACGGCGGCCGUAACUAUAACGGUCCUAAGGUAGCGAAAUUCCUUGUCGGGUAAGUUCCGACCCGCACGAAAGGCGUAACGAUCUGGGAGCUGUCUCGGAGAGAGGCUCGGCGAAAUAGGAUUGUCUGUGAAGAUACGGACUACCUGCAUUUGGACAGAAAGACCCUAUGAAGCUUUACUGUAGCUUGGAAUUGUGUUCGGGCUUCCUGUGCGCAGGAUAGGUGGGAGGCUGUGAAGGUACACUUGUGGGUGUACUGAAGCCAUCAGUGAGAUACCACUCUCAGGAGGCUAGAAUUCUAACUUAAUAAAGGACAGUUUCAGGUGGGCAGUUUGACUGGGGCGGUCGCCUCCAAAAAGGUAACGGAGGCGUACAAAGGUUCCCUCAGACUGGUUGGAAAUCAGUCGAAGAGUGCAAAGGCAGAAGGGAGCUUGACUGCGAGACGGACAAGUCGAGCAGGGUGGAAACACGGUCUUAGUGAUCCGACGGUGCUGUGUGGAAGGGCCGUCGCUCAACGGAUAAAAGUUACUCUAGGAUAACAGGCUGAUCUCCCCCAAGAGUUCACAUCGACGGGGAGGUUUGGCACCUCGAUGUCGGCUCAUCGCAACCUGGGGCGGAAGUACGUCCCAAGGGUUGGGCUGUUCGCCCAUUAAAGCGGUACGUGAGCUGGGUUCAGAACGUCGUGAGACAGUUCGGUCCAUAUCCGAUGUAGGCGUGAGAAUAUUGAGAGGAGCCUUCCUUAGUACGAGAGGACCGGGAAGGACGCACCGCUGGUGUACCUGUUAUGAUGCCAAUUGUAAACGCAGGGUAGCCAAGUGCGGAGAGGAUAACCGCUGAAAGCAUCUAAGUGGGAAGCCCACCUCAAGAUGAGUAUUCUGGUGUAAGGUCACGGGAAGACAACCCGUUAAUAGGCACGAGGUGGAAGUGCAGUGAUGUAUGAAGCCGAAGUGUACUAAUAGACCGUCAGCUUGACC